RNAcentral lists this ribosomal RNA (301 nucleotides) under uncultured bacterium. RNAcentral describes it as "partial 16S ribosomal RNA". It matches the Rfam family "Bacterial small subunit ribosomal RNA", at positions 509 to 807 of the family's 1533-position model. The record is from RNAcentral.
CAGUAGCCACGGUAAUACGGAGGGCGCAAGCGUUACUCGGAAUGACUGGGCGUAAAGGGCGCGUAGGCGGACCACACAGUCGGACGUGAAAUUCCUGGGCUUAACCUGGGGGCUGCAUUUGAUACUGUCGGGCUUGAGUAUGGAAGAGGGUCGUGGAAUUCCCAGUGUAGAGGUGAAAUUCGUAGAUAUUGGGAAGAACACCGGUGGCGAAGGCGGCGACCUGGUCCAUAACUGACGCUGAGGCGCGAAAGCGUGGGGAGCAAACAGGAUUAGAUACCCCCGUAGUCCCUGUCUCUUAUAC